This is a long non-coding RNA of Hibiscus syriacus, 1413 nucleotides long. RefSeq lists it as uncharacterized. The record is from RefSeq and is a predicted model, not a curated record. Lineage: Eukaryota; Viridiplantae; Streptophyta; Magnoliopsida; Malvales; Malvaceae. The transcript is spliced from 2 exons.
CAAACAAGAGCCAGGUAGCUGCCACCUUCACUUCUUACCCUCUCUUCAAUAAUUCUCUCGUUUGGGGUACCAGAAAAGUUCCACCUUUACACAUCAUAAAAAAGGAUAAAUAUUCAUUUCCUUUCCUUUCUUCCCCAUUCUUCCCUUCUCUAUUAACCCGUUUCUUCUUUUUCUUCCAGUAGCCACUUGUUUGAGCUUUGUGGAAUAGGCCCAAAAUCUGUGGUUUUCUCUCUUUCCUUUUGUUUUUCCUGGCUUAACUUAGUAGGCCUUGGUUAUUGGAGAAAUUUCCUUAAGUUUCAGACUUAUCUUGGAAUGAUGAAGUUUGAUGAUAUGAGUAUUUGUGGAGAUAUGGAUUUCUUAUGUGCUCCCCCUGGGGGGAAAGAUGUGGCGGUCCCGCAGAUGGAAGUAGAGGCUGCAGUAGAGGAUGAUUUUUCUGAUGAAGAGGUUGAUGUCGAUGAACUUGAGAAGAGGUUGUGGAGGGACAAAAUGCGGCUCAAACGGCUCAAGGAACAGCAGAAGGGCAAGGAGGUGAUCGAUGUCGCCAAACAGCGUCAGUCCCAAGAACAAGCUAUAAAGGUUAAGCUGGAUUUCUAACACUUUUUAUCAUUCACAUGUGGUAAUAAUGAUAAUUUUGAUGUUGAGAUACAUAUAAAGACUUUGAAGAGUUUCUCGAGGAAUGUUUAAAAUUAAAAGUAAAUGACUGCAUCAUUUAAAUCCCUUGGAGAAGAUGAAGCUCGAUUUUAUAUUUGCGAUUCUACUCUAUAGAUAAGCUGAGGCAUAUUCCCUUGUUUGUGGCCUUCUGCCAUUCUCACUCUUAGUUGUUAAUGACAGCUUUGCAGAAAGAUACUGUGUUCUUUAUUCCUUUACCCCACAAUGCGCAUUAACCAGUCUCUUGGCUAGUAUAGCUUCUGUUAUUUUAAUUUUAGGUGUUCGUGUUCAUGAUCGACAAUCUACCUUCAAGUUUCUACUUUGUCUCUUCUUUGACGGGCCUCGUUGGAAUCACUGUUUAAUGGACUGUGUCUUAUGGUGCACAUUGUUAAUAUUUUAGAGCUAUUUGUUUCUUUUAUUUUCCUUGUGCAACGUCACUUAUCUUCAAUAUUUUUCCGAAAUAUGUAGCUUCGAGAAAAACCCUCGCCUGGAAGGUCCCGAGCUUCUGGGGCUCGCAAGUUACGACACAAACUGCUCGUGAAGUACAGGUUGAUGUUAUAAAGCUUGGAGUUGAAUAUGUACUCACAAGGUUUUAAGCAUAUUAUCACACGGUAUAAUGGGGUUUCUUAAACGCUAGGCCUCGUAUGUGUAAAUCUAUAUACCAGCUUGACUAUAUAUAGCUCAAUUAUCCAGCUCUUUCUAAGAUGUUGAAGGCAACUAGUAUUGAUGAAUGUAAUGGCAGCGACAAGUUAAUUUGUGGUGUGA